This 253-nucleotide ribosomal RNA is filed under the name uncultured bacterium. RNAcentral's name for it is "partial 16S ribosomal RNA". It matches the Rfam family "Bacterial small subunit ribosomal RNA", at positions 524 to 776 of the family's 1533-position model. The record is from RNAcentral.
UACGUAGGGUGCAAGCGUUGUCCGGAAUUAUUGGGCGUAAAGAGCUCGUAGGCGGCUUGUCACGUCGGCUGUGAAAACCCGGGGCUCAACCCCGGGCCUGCAGUCGAUACGGGCAAGCUAGAGUUCGGCAGGGGAGACUGGAAUUCCUGGUGUAGCGGUGAAAUGCGCAGAUAUCAGGAGGAACACCGGUGGCGAAGGCGGGUCUCUGGGCCGAUACUGACGCUGAGGAGCGAAAGCAUGGGUAGCGAACAGG